This 261-nucleotide ribosomal RNA is filed under the name uncultured archaeon. RNAcentral's name for it is "partial 16S ribosomal RNA". It matches the Rfam family "Archaeal small subunit ribosomal RNA", at positions 748 to 1008 of the family's 1478-position model. The record is from RNAcentral.
CAGCCGUAAACUAUGCGCGUUAGGUGUACUGGUGACCACGAGUCACCGGGGUGCCGAAGGGAAACCGUGAAACGUGCCGCCUGGGAAGUACGGUCGCAAGGCUGAAACUUAAAGGAAUUGGCGGGGGUGCACCACAACGGGUGGAGCCUGCGGUUUAAUUGGACUCAACGCCGGAAAUCUCACCGGAUAGGACAGACAUAUGAUAGUCGGGCUGAAGACUCUACUUGAUGAUCUGAGAGGAGGUGCAUGGCGUCAGUGACU